AGAGUUUGAUCAUGGCUCAGGACGAACGCUGGCGGCGCGCCUAACACAUGCAAGUCGAACGGAGCUUGACAGACGGAAGCCUUCGGGCGGAAGACAAUCAAGCUUAGUGGCGGACGGGUGAGUAACACGUGAGCAACCUGCCUUUCAGAGGGGGAUAACGUCGGGAAACUGACGCUAAUACCGCAUAACAUACGGUUUUCGCAUGGGGACUGCAUCAAAGGAGCAAUCCGCUGAAAGAUGGGCUCGCGUCCGAUUAGCUGGUUGGAGUGGUAACGGCACACCAAGGCGACGAUCGGUAGCCGGACUGAGAGGUUGAACGGCCACAUUGGGACUGAGACACGGCCCAGACUCCUACGGGAGGCAGCAGUGGGGGAUAUUGCACAAUGGGGGGAACCCUGAUGCAGCGACGCCGCGUGAGGGAAGAAGGUUUUCGGAUUGUAAACCUCUGUCCAUAGUGACGAUAAUGACGGUAGCUAUGGAGGAAGCCACGGCUAACUACGUGCCAGCAGCCGCGGUAAUACGUAGGUGGCAAGCGUUGUCCGGAAUUACUGGGUGUAAAGGGAGCGUAGGCGGGACAGCAAGUUGGAUGUUUAAACUAUCGGCUCAACCGAUAAUCGCAUUCAAAACUGCAGUUCUUGAGUGAAGUAGAGGCAGGCGGAAUUCCUAGUGUAGCGGUGAAAUGCGUAGAUAUUAGGAGGAACACCAGUGGCGAAAGCGGCCUGCUGGGCUUUAACUGACGCUGAGGCUCGAAAGCGUGGGUAGCAAACAGAUUAGAUACCCUGGUAGUCCACGCCGUAACG
This 800-nucleotide ribosomal RNA is filed under the name uncultured bacterium. RNAcentral's name for it is "bacterial SSU rRNA". It matches the Rfam family "Bacterial small subunit ribosomal RNA", at positions 8 to 807 of the family's 1533-position model. The record is from RNAcentral.